Phrynosoma platyrhinos (Desert horned lizard) is the source of this 73-nucleotide non-coding RNA. Lineage: Eukaryota; Metazoa; Chordata; Lepidosauria; Squamata; Phrynosomatidae. The record is from the annotation of a GenBank genome assembly.
GGCAGUGUGGUGUAAUGGUUUGAGCAUUCAACUAGGACUCUGGAAGACCAGGGUUCGAAUCCCAGCUUGGCCA